GAUGAACGCUGGCGGCGUGCCUAAUACAUGCAAGUCGAGCGAACGGACGAGAAGCUUGCUUCUCUGAUGUUAGCGGCGGACGGGUGAGUAACACGUGGAUAACCUACCUAUAAGACUGGGAUAACUUCGGGAAACCGGAGCUAAUACCGGAUAAUAUUUUGAACCGCAUGGUUCAAAAGUGAAAGACGGUCUUGCUGUCACUUAUAGAUGGAUCCGCGCUGCAUUAGCUAGUUGGUAAGGUAACGGCUUACCAAGGCAACGAUGCAUAGCCGACCUGAGAGGGUGAUCGGCUACACUGGAACUGAGACACGGCCCAGACUCCUACGGGAGGCAGCAGUAGGGAAUCUUCCGCAAUGGGCGAAAGCCUGACGGAGCAACGCCGCGUGAGUGAUGAAGGUCUUCGGAUCGUAAAACUCUGUUAUUAGGGAAGAACAUAUGUGUAAGUAACUGUGCACAUCUUGACGGUACCUAAUCAGAAAGCCACGGCUAACUACGUG
RNAcentral lists this ribosomal RNA (497 nucleotides) under uncultured bacterium. Its description in RNAcentral is "partial 16S ribosomal RNA". It matches the Rfam family "Bacterial small subunit ribosomal RNA", at positions 28 to 507 of the family's 1533-position model. The record is from RNAcentral.